RNAcentral lists this ribosomal RNA (427 nucleotides) under uncultured bacterium. RNAcentral describes it as "bacterial SSU rRNA". It matches the Rfam family "Bacterial small subunit ribosomal RNA", at positions 355 to 774 of the family's 1533-position model. The record is from RNAcentral.
UGGGGAAUUUUGGACAAUGGGCGCAAGCCUGAUCCAGCCAUGCCGCGUGCAGGAUGAAGGCCUUCGGGUUGUAAACUGCUUUUGUACGGAACGAAAAGGUGCCUUCUAAUAAAGGGCGCUCAUGACGGUACCGUAAGAAUAAGCACCGGCUAACUACGUGCCAGCAGCCGCGGUAAUACGUAGGGUGCGAGCGUUAAUCGGAAUUACUGGACGUAAAGCGUGCGCAGGCGGUUUUGUAAGACAGAGGUGAAAUCCCCGGGCUCAACCUGGGAACUGCCUUUGUGACUGCAAAGCUGGAGUGCGGCAGAGGGGGAUGGAAUUCCGCGUGUAGCAGUGAAAUGCGUAGAUAUGCGGAGGAACACCGAUGGCGAAGGCAAUCCCCAGGGCCUGCACUGACGCUCAUGCACGAAAGCGUGGGGAGCAAACA